GCGUGCUCAGCACCCCGAGGGCAUUCGAGGCGCAUCCGAGCCCCUCUCGGUCGCCAGCCUAUUCCUGCUUCUCUGUGAACGCUCUAAAGAACCUACUCCACUCCCCUCCAUCCUAGCUACCUCUCGGGCCUCCCCGCUUGUCCACCCAUGACCUUCUCCUCCUCCCACGACCAACAUUGCCGCAGCUCGGCUUCACUCAAGCCCGAGCUAACCGGCCCUCCCUAGCCUCAACCAAGAACUUUAGAAGGACUCCGUUGAUGGGAGCAACUCCCCAGGAAUCCCCAGACUCCAUCCUCGAGGCCUUGUCGUGCUCCCCAGCAACGACCAAUGCUUUUGUCCGCCCCUCCCAACGAGCUACUUACUCAUGGCUGUCCCUGCGACCAACGAGGCAAGGAGCGGGGCAUCCACCCACGCCCCCAACUCUGUGCUUGGUGCGGAGAAGUGGCUGGAGCCACGACGGCCAGCAUCCCGUCCGCCUCCUGUCAGGAGGUAGGUGAAGGGGGCAGGAGAGAGGUGGAGAGGGACCGGCGGGGCCCGCUUGUAAGAGACCCUAACGAUUGGGCCCGCGUGUAAGUGGACGCGAUUUUCGCGUUUUGUGCCUCCCCACGAAGCAGGCGUAUUCCUAGGAAUGCACCUCCAACAUGGCCCUUCCCGCGCUUGGCCAAGCUACUGGCCGACCCAAUGCAUACGCGGCUAUUCUGUGCCCAGGGCGCUCCUUCGGCCGUUAGUUGAUGAGGUAGACGGAGUGCUCGGAGUUGGAACAGAAGCGUGUGAAGACCUCAAAGACUUUGAUGAGCCACGCAAACAAGCCUUUGACCAUGACUAUGAAACCAUUUUAUGCACGACCUAUAGCACUUUAAUCCGUUGCAUUGAAUCAUGAUGAAUUGGUGACCACCAUGGUGGGCUACCUCAGCUACAUUUCUCGUCGAUACUUGCACUAAGCAUGACCCUACCUUCUUAUGAGGGUUAUGCAGGUGGGAAGUAGAUAGGAUGCUAGUAGUUGCUACGCAAGUUGGAUGGUAAGAUGCAUGGCGUUGCAAAAAGAAAUGAUUUCAAAGACUUUUCGAACACCCCAUCGGGUGCCACUAAUGCCCGAGGGAGAUGGUGUUGAGCUAGGUAACCACUUCAGAAAUAAUUGGUGUACCAAGGCAACUGACUGUGUUGUUUCCGAAAACAGAUUGGCUUAAGUUUCGACCGUUA
Molecule: long non-coding RNA, 1200 nt
Organism: Hordeum vulgare subsp. vulgare (domesticated barley)
Lineage: Eukaryota; Viridiplantae; Streptophyta; Magnoliopsida; Poales; Poaceae
Exons: 2
Source: RefSeq, a predicted model, not a curated record